Paramuricea clavata is the source of this 73-nucleotide non-coding RNA. Lineage: Eukaryota; Metazoa; Cnidaria; Anthozoa; Malacalcyonacea; Plexauridae. The record is from the annotation of a GenBank genome assembly.
GACUCUGUAGCUCAGUUGGUUAGAUCACUGCAUCGUAAUCGCAGUGCCGCAGCUUCGAUUCCUGCCAGAGGGC